AAAAAUUAAGAAAUAAAACAAUAUAUAAUUAAAUAUUAAUGAAGAAAAAAAAUUUGUAUAAAAAUAUAGUCUAAAACAAUUUUAAUAUAUGAGUUUUUUGAAAAAUUCAACACACUAAUUAGUAUAUAUAUUUUAAUGAAAUUUUGUGUCAUAUAUAAAUUAUUUUAUGUUUGGUAAAAAAAGAAUUAUCUUAUCUAAGUGAUUGUCGUUCCCAUUCUCAUCAAUUCACUUCUAUGCAUUCCUAAAAACAGAUUUGUGGUUAGUAUAUGUUUUUUUUUUUUUUUGGUUAGUCUAUGUUUUCUUAUGCAAGUAUGUUCAAAUUUGAAUGUAUAAGCAUCUUAUUAUAUAAAGAAGAUUUUGUCUCUCUUUUUAGAGAGACACGUGGUCAAAUACUCUCUUCUCGCCAUUAGAGAGGCUGAGAUGCAGAGGCCGGCAUACCUAUUCAGUUUCCAUCCAUCCAAAACAAGACAGCUUCCCAUUAAACACGUCCUCAACUACCUUAGCCACGAAUUUGAAUGUGUGUGAAUCUUCUUACAGACGGUGUUUGUAUGCUUUUCUCCUCUCUAAAGAUGGUUUUUUCUCUCUCUCCUUGGAGGAUUUCUCUGAGAUUCUGAGUUCUUAGUGUUGUUGUUCAGAAUUGUAACUGUUUAUGUAUCUGACGGGAGCAUUCGGAGCUAGAUACGGUGGUGUUGGCCGUUCCAGGAAUCAAUAGGUCUUGAAUCGUCAUGGAAUCGGUUUAGAUAUCCCACCGCAGCAGUAAAUCGGAAACAUCUCCGGUGAGACAGAUUCAUCUCAGUGUUUGGUUUCUGAUCAUAGCCCGUGAACUAGCCAUAACAAUCGGUCUCGCAAGAGAAAAGAACUCGACAAGAAGGUGAGACACAAGAGAUGUUUUGGUGACAUUUUAUCAAGCCAGUGAUUGAUGAAUCCUUGAGACAUGUCCUUAUAGGACAAAAGCUCGGAAGAAAAAGAGAGGCUUUUCAUAUCUUCAUGUUAGAGCUCGCCGUGGUAAAGCAACAAAUAGCUUAGCAGAACGAGCAAGAAGGGAGAAGCUUAAUGCACAUAUGAAGCUGCUACAGGAACUGGUCCCAGGCUUAGAUAGAGUGCUUGGGAUCAAUAUGCUAAUUAAUCUUUAGGUCUUCGUUUGAUGAUAUAGUUUCUUUUUGUUAACUAAUCAACUCAAAAAGUGGAUUGCUUAAUUGCUUUUUAUGAAAAAGAGUGGUUUCUGGUGUGCCGAAGUGGCCUUGAAGAUCUUGACUUUAUUAUUUAUGAAUUGGGACAAGUAUCCACUACCCUCACACGAAAAAUUCUGGCUUGAAACCAGAAUGCAGCUUUCGUCAAGAAGAUAGGAAUAAAAGUUCUGGACAAAUUAAUCCUUUCGCAUAUGUAAAAUAAACCUAGCAAUGGCUAAGUAGAGCGGUUGUGGUUUCCGCAUAUGCCUCCAAAGGUGAUGAAGCAGACGAUGCAGAAGAAGAGAACAAUGAUUUCUUCUAUUAUUCCGAAAGUGGCCACCUAUAUUAUGUAAUUAAAAUUUUGUUUUUCUUAUUUGUACUUUCGGGCCUCUGUUUCUAUAUCGGAUGGAAAACUCUUUUAUGAGAUUCAGUGAGUUUAGAGACUUUGAUGACACUUCUGGAUUGUUGGAAGGUCUCAACUUCUCGAGACUCUCACUUAUCACUCAACAUCAUUAAUUACGGAUGGGGCUAAUGUGUAAUUCUCUUUUUUGUUUUUUUGCUACAACUAACGUGUAAUUUUCGAUCUCCCAAAUCUUCCUAUGCUUAUAUGAAGGAAACAUAAGAAACUAGAAAAUCAUGGAAACUGGUAUGCAUUUUUUGUUAUAGUCUACUCAUUAAUUUUAGACAAAUUAAUUGUUGUCUAAAAUUUUCAUCAAGACCAUCCAUGAAAAACACUCCAUGUCGGAGAUAUAAAAAGAUUCACAAAUCACAAACAGUGACUACCAAACAGACAGAUAACUUGAAUGUUAAUUUGGGAAAUUAUAGGAGUAUAAGACCAACAGCUACAUAUCACCUGAACAACAUUUAAACUGGGUCGGACUCAUGCUGCUAAUACAAAUAAAUAUUUGAGCAAGAUAUGCCACCGUAGGCUCCGUAUACCUUUUAUAAUUUCUGGAUAAAAUUUUAAACAUUACCAUUUCCUACAACAUUUCUAACAUUACUUUAACUUCCUCCCAACUAAGAACGAGGGUUUGAGGUUAUGAAUUAAGAGUUAAUAGUUGUAAACGUGGGCAACAUCCAAAAAAAAAAAUACGUCUUUCCCACUUCAAAAGAAUACGUUACAAAGGCACACAAAAUCCAUCACACACCUCAAAAAAAAUUCUACAAAAAACAAAAUGCAACAGGAACCAGAAUACUACAAACCUCAACACUUUAUAACGACCAUUUAAAAUAAAUUAUCAACAUAUCCCGCGCGAAGCGCGGAUUUCUCCUAGUAGAACAUAUAGAAUUUGUUAAUAGGGUAUGUUUCUUACAUUUCCGGGAUCACGUCCAAAACUCAUUUAUUAGAAAAGACCUUUGCUAUAUGAUAACGGCCAAUCAUUCUUAACUAAAUUUACAAUAAAGAGUAACUAUUAGUCAUUGUUUUCUCUGACAAGUAUAAUUUUCUAUAACAAAAUUACCAACAGCUCAACUGGCUAGUAAGACGACGACACACAUCUAUGUGCAUCUUCAAUAGAACUCCAGACGCCCUAUCACCGUCUUGUUCUCUUUAUACUCCAACCAAAACCCUAAACAAGGAAUUGGGCUUACUACAAAUCACCAGGGCCAGCAUGACUUUUCUCAUUAACUUGAAAUCCAUGUUGCCGUUUUCCUCUAAUACAUGCCUCACAUCAGCACUCCUUACGAAUGUGCAAGAUUUGUUGUGUCGGAGCUUGGGUUCCAUGUUCCUUCCUAGCUUACACCAUAACAUGAUAAGACAUGUUCUUUCAUUAUUAUAGCUCCACACGUGCAUGAUGUAUCAGCCUUGCCGUAAUGUCUUUGUUUGCACUUGUAUAUCAUCUUCAUUAAUACCUCUCUCAGACAACACAUCACGUACUACAUACAAUCUAUGUACUUGUGGUGUUCUUGUAUCUAUGCUUCAUAAUGUCCAUGAUCUCUGCUUCAACGGAACCCUUAAGAUGUAGUUCAUCUUGUUCCAGCAGGUUGUCUAAAACCAGAUCAGCAAUGCUUCUUCAUUCUCCCCCUUGAUGACUGGGUUUUAGAAUCCAAGUACACACUUAAGAUCUAACACUUUCAUUCUCCCCCUUUAUGUAUGAAUAUGUGAAUUCAAGCUCAUCUUUGAAAGCAAUUACAAACUCAAACGCUCCCCCUGCUUGAGCACACUUUCAUUCUCUCCCUAUAUAUUCAUAUAAAACCAAGAGAUUCCUUGUAGAAACACUUCUGCCUCAUUUCAACAUGGCCUGGUUCCAUUAGCUUAGCCUCAUUUCAAAAAUCUCUGCCACAUCUGACUUUCUUCGACGCCAUCUCAUCAAAAUCCAUACCAAGUAGAAGAGCUUGUUCAACUCCAUAACUUGUUCUUGCAACAGUGAUUCUUCUUUCUGAAUUUCAGUAACCCUGCAACUCAGAUUAACAUCAAGCAGUCUUUGAGUCUCAAGGUAACCUGCAUGUAAACCGAACGUCUUGAAAUCUUUCUUCCUCAUAUCUUCAGAUCAUUCAUCCUUAAAUUGCUGUAACAACAUGAUUUCUUCUCUUCUAAGUUAGUUCUUCCAUCUGACAACACACUUAAGCAACCUGGACCAUGACUGCAGCAUCUUGUAGCACAAAGCUUCAGUAUCUCCCUUCAUUCAUGCUCACAUCAUGAUCUGCUGUCUUUGUCUUGUCUUUCUUCACACGUUUCAGAAUAGUGUAGCAAACCGUUGACUUGACUUCUGUAUUAGCAAAAUCCUUGCAUCUGUGUAAUACCAUCCAUUGCAGUAGAUCCGUGAUUAUUCUUCCAUUUUGAAUGACAACAAACUUUCCACCAGAAAAAUCCUUCUUCCAUGGCCAUUAAUUUCUUUCGUCAACUCCGUCCAGUCUUCAUAUUAUUAAGGAACUUGUGUUCGAAGAUUAUCAUUGAGUUUUUCACAACGCUGCCAUAGCCAAGUUCUGCAAUACCAGCGAUCAACCUGCUCUCCUACACAAUCCUUGUAAGAUAUACAGUCAACUUCUGUUCAAUAAGCUGUCGCAUCAAGAUUCAUCCUCGUACGUUAGUGUUCACCAACAUGACCAUUUUAACUUCAACCUCCAUAUGAGUUCUCCUUCAGUUAGAAAAUUUCUUGCACUGUGAAGAUCAGACGGAGCUAAUCUGGCCAUCAGAACUUAUCAUUAUCUUCUGGUCACGUCAUCUUCUGCGUGGACAUGUCUCUGAAAUAUAUGAAUACUUCUCGGAUGUAGCCAGAUUCAUGAUGAGGCAAUCUUUUUCUUCUUCAAUCUUCAUCAUCACUGCCUGGUAUUUAUAAAACUGCUUGGUCUCUCAUUGGUGAGGAAGUAAUCGCCGCUAUCACUGGAUUCUUCACAUCAAGGUUCAUGCCUUGAGCCACCAACUCAACAAUUCUCACUCUCAUCCCCGAGUCUUAUUGGAGCCACUGUUAUCAAAGAUUUUUGACCAAUCUCUUGUUGCAAUACUCUGUACAAGCUGGUGUUGGUAGCUAAGUUGAAACCCAUCCUGCCAAAUCAAACAGCUUUCAUUUGAGGAAGAUUGUUAUUGGAAACUACCUUGUUAGCCUCUGAAAUUGUGAGUGGUUACCACAAGGACAAAGGUGCAAAAAAAUUGAUAUUAGCCAAAGCUUUCGACUCAAUUUCGAGGUGGGAUUUCAUCAUAGACUGCCCUAAUCGCUCUAAACCUGCCUACAAUUUAUAUUGACUGGAUUAAGCAAUGUGUAUCUCUCUACUACAGCUUUCUCUAAUGGCAGGAUUCACAGAUACACUUCAAAGGCACUAGAGGGUUAAGACAGGGUGACCCCUAGCUCUUGUCACCUUGUCUACUUGGUCUAGCAAUAAAUGUUCUCUCUAAAAUGCUAAAUAAAGAUGGAGCUAAUGGUGGGGUUAUUUUAACUAUCAUCCUAAAAUGCAAGUAUUCAAAGUUAACGUACUUGUGCCUCGCUGAUGACCUUCUCUUGUGGUCAAUCUCCUGCAGAUGUCGCCUCAACUGAGUCAUUGUCUGGAACCAUAUCACCCCAGGGCCAUCUGCCUAUUAGGUUAGGUACUUGGGAGUACCACUGUGUACAAAAAAAAAAUUAUAAAUGAAUUGAAUGUGUGCAUCUUUGCUUCAAUCAGUUAAAGAAUAAAAAUAUGUUCUUGGACUAUUUUUUGUUUGUUCAUCACUCCAUUAUGGAGUGGGAAAUGGAGUAGGGUUGGAAUAAUUUUACUCUAUUUUCACUUUUACUCCAUUUUGGAGGAAAAAAUGGAGUUUUACAUUGGAGAUGCUCUAAGUUGCUAUCUUUUCGCUGGGGAGGCAGGUUAUAAUCAAUACAGUAACCUCAGGUAUUACUUAAUUUCUACAUAAAGAAUGCAGCAAUGCAUGGCAUCAACAAAAUAGACUCUAUGUGUAAUGCGUUUAGAGGGAAGGUUCAUAGCAAAAAAAGUAACUACACUUUUAAGCAUUUAUAUCGAAACCUCAAUUCAAAUCAAGCUCCAAGAGCUUUUGCUAGGACCAUGACCGUAUGUUCUGUAGAAUAUCCUGAACCUCCGCAUUGUUGGGCGUCGACUUGUUCUUCAACAACCUUGCAAUACGCCACCAUUUUUUUGCUCAGGUAUUUUCUUCUCCUCUUUAUGCAUAGAGAGAGAGAGAGAGAGAGGUUGGACGGCGCGGGAGUUGGUAUCGGUUUAGUUGUGGGUGGAGGUUUGGACUGCCACAUAAGAUUGGUUAAAAGAAAAAAAGUUAAAAAGCUCAUUCUCAAAUCUUUAGAGCAAACCAACGGUUAGUAUCUAAAAAUAAUAAUAGUACUACUUUAUUUUAUUACAAUUUUGUAAUUAAACUUUAUUUAUACGAACGUCUGUUUGGGUUAUAGCUUCCCGUGUUUGGGUUUAGUUUUCGGAUAUUUCUACGUUUUCCGCCGGCUUCAGUAUUUCACCGAUGUAUCUUUAGAGCAAACCAACGUCUGUUUGGGUUAUAGCUUCCCGUGUUUAGGUUUAGUUUCCGGGGAUUUCUACGUUUUCUGCCGGCUUCAGUAUUUCACCGAUGUAUCUUUUUAUGAUAGUAAUGAAAAUUUCAGUGGAAAAAAAAAUUAAACUUUAUUUUAUUUCUGCUCUUCGCAACAUUACACGUCAAAGAGGAGUAUGAGGAGAGUUUCUUGAUAUUAAGAACUUUUUCUCACCUUUUCUCUUUUCUUAUUACUACUGUAAUUUUCUUUAUUUAACAGACUUCUCCAAUAAGAAACUCUAACUGGAAAUGCUCUUAUUUGUUUACUUAUGUUUAAGUAACAGAAACAAGAAUUUGAGUGAUUAAUUUAUGGGAAAAUUGCUAAAACGGAACAAAAAUUUAACAUGGUUGUCCCUUUAGUAUAAUAUCAUCUUUAAGUUGUCCUUUUAGUAUAAUUGUUUUUAUAAUUCCAAAACUAACCUUGAUUAAUCAAAUUAAACAUAAUUUAAAAGUUUAAUUGAAUUUUAAAAGUUUAAUAAAAAGGAAAAAAAAAGGCAUUUCACAAAGGCAAAAGAAAUUAAAACAAAUUAAAACAAAAAGGGAACAAAAAAAAACGUAACCCUAAUUGUUUGGUUUCUCUCGACGAACAGGCGAUUCAAGGGCUUCUAUGGAAUGAACACGAAAGUGAUUCUCUCCCUUCGUCUUCUCCGACAUCGCUAGCACCUUAGGUAAAGUUUUUGUCCCUUUUUUUGGUUCUCUGAUAAUUGUGUAGAACAAAGUUAACAGUUUGAUGCAGAGAAUGCUAGACACUGAACUUCGAGUAGGACGAGGAAUAGUGAGUAAUGACGAAGCAAUAUCAUUAGUAUUUAUUCAUGCGCUAUAGAUCAUAGGUUGUGGUGGUUUACACCGUAGAAGAUUGUGCUUGUAUUCUUUCAGAUUUGUAACACAGCCUCUGAGGUUUUCAGUCUUUCAUAGUGAACUUUGUCUUUCAGUCAAAGGAAAGAUGGAGAAAGUUCAUUUUUGAUGUUUGGCUUUGCAUGAAAAUGGAUGUUGAGUCUCUUAGUUUUUUUCUGUUUCUGUCUCCUCUCCCUCUUUUUUUUGUAGAUUGAAUGUGAGCCAAAAUAUUUGAUGUCUGUUUGGAUCAAAUCCUGACAUCGAUGAGAAGCCACCAAUGUCUCUGCGUAAGUGUCUUGAGAAACUGAAGCCUUUCAUAGUGGCUUACGAGGGAGGGGAUCGAGGAUCAAGAAGAAUGGGAGCUAACAUUGUUCAGUUUCCUUUUUAUGCAUCCACACAAUACUUUUGUUUCGUUUGAUCACUUUAUCUUUCUCAUUUUUUGUGUGCAGGAAGUAAUUGGUGAGGUGAUGGUGGAAGCUCCACUUCUCAAAGAGAUUGUUGAUCACGACAGUGUUCCUGAUCGAGUAACUGCUAAGAAACAGAACGAGGAGCUCGAUAGAAUUGCUACAACAGUUCCCAAAGUUCACCUGAUGCUGUAAAACGAUUUGCAGAUCGUGCUGCUCUUAGUCUUAAAAGGAGUAUGAAAAUAACAGUGGAAGAAGUCAGGAAGCAGAAAAAUUCCCUUGAAAUAGAUUGUUUAGGAAGCAUUCUAUGGCUAUUCUAUGGAUUCUUGGAAAAUUAAGAAGCAAAGAAUGAAUGCAAUCAGUCUAGUGGUUCUUAGUACUUUGUUCUUAGUGUUUUGUUCUUACAGUGGAUAUGGCGAUUUUGUGGUUCUUACUGUGACUUAGAUGAGUUUUUGGUUCCUCGAGUUUUGUUCAUACUAUGUUGUCUACUAAAAUGAAAACACAAAAAAUCAUACAUGAAACACAUAUAAACACAAGAGUUUGUGAAAAUCACAAGAAAUCAUAUAUUGUUGAAGAAGAAAAGACAAAAUCAUUUUUUUUUUUUGAUAAAGCAAAUCGAUCAAAACACGUUUUAGGAAGUUCGAAUAUUUUUAGAAUAUUUUUUUAACAGAAACUUUCUUAAUUUUCCAAAAAACAGGUUUUUUUAUCCGUAGAAGACACAUUCUACAAUGAGUAGAACCAUGACAAAAAUCAUGAAUGCAAUUUCUACCUCAUGUAGACGUAUGUGUUGUAUUUAGAUUUCACAAUCCCGAAAUUUUAGAAUACUUCAUAAAAGUAGAAACUGCAUUCGAGAGAAAAGUAGAUGUCUUUACAAUUAGUAGAAUUCACAUUCUCCAUAUUUAGAAUUUUAAUUAAAAGUAGAUUGUUCGUUCUAAAAAACGUAGAUGGACUUGUUUAUUCUGGAAUUCGUUUUCUACUAACCCAUUUUUCGUAGAAGACGAAUUCUACUUUUAGUAGAACAUAAUUUAAAUUUUUAUUUAUCAAGUUUUUCAACAAAAAAAAAAUUUGUGUUUGUGUAUAUAAGUGUUUUAAAAAUUGUUUAUAUUUUUAGUAAUUUUUUUAUUCAUAAAACUAUUUAUUUUAUUAAGUUUCAGAAAUAAAAAGGGUAAAAAGGAGACAAAAUGGACAAAAUAAGUUUUAUACCAAAGGGACAACCUUCCUAAAUUUUUGUUCCGUUUUAGCAAUUUUCCCUUAAUUUAUCUCCGUAAUUUGCACAACUGGAACUAUGGCAAACAAAGAAAAAUAAAUCACUGGAAAGAGUCUGUAACAUAAGGUGGUUCAAAAAGGAGAUUAACACAUAACACAUAAGGUGGUCCUAGAUAUUAUUUACCAAUUGAUUUGCUUACAUGUCAUCACCACAAUUAUUUUAGCAAAAAAAAUGAUGAUAUCUCACUUAAAUAAUGACAUGAAUCCUACCUAAUUAUGACAUGACUUAACACAUUUAUUACAAAAAAUUCAAUUAAAGAAAUUCAAAUAUAAAACAUUAAGUAUAUAAGUAUUAUCAUAAUUAAAAUAUUAAGUAUAUAAUUAUUACCAUAAUUAAAAGAUUUAAAUAAAAUAAUUUAAAUUCGAGAUGGAAUUGAUAUAUAUUAAACUUUCACUUUGAACAUGUUAAUUAAAAAGCAACUAACUUUAUUUCUUAUUUUUAGUAUUUUAUAUAUAAAUAUAUUUAAUGUUUAUAAUGAACAUUUAUCUAAAUACGGUAAAAUUAUAAGAAAGUAUUUCAUUAUUAUAUUUAUAUCUCAUAAUUAAAUUGUUCUAUAUACAAUAAAUAAAACAAGUGCUUUAUAUUCUAGCAUUUAUAAUGUUUUGAAUUUUGAAAAUAAAAUUUUCUGCAAAAUUAUAUGUAGUUUAAAUUUUCAAAAGUUCAUCUAUCUUGGCAAAAAUAUAUUUCAAAGAAUAUAUUACUUUUUAGAAGGUUCAUUUCCAUAAUCUUUCAAAAAAUAAAAUAUUGCAGUUAAAAAUUAGUAUAUGAUAUCAAGAUUAUACUUUAUAGUAUCAUGGAUAAUUCAUUUUAGAUAUUUUGUCAAGAUUAAAAUAUUGUAAUAAUCCAACAUCUUUAUAUUAAAGAUAUUUUUUUUAUAAAUAUUUAUAUUUAUUCCUAAUUAGUAUUUUAAACACAAACCUAGGCAAUAGUAAUAACAACAUUUUUGAAUAUAUUUAAUCAUAUCACUUAGUAUAAAGACAAAGUUAGUCAAUCUUCGAAAUUACUAAAUCUAUUAAGAGUUAGCUUUAAAUUAAAUUUAAUUUUUUUUACACAUGGUGCACGAAACACAGUUCUCUAUAUAAAGAUUAGUGUUCUAAAAUACGCUAACCAAGUAGUUAUCAUUGGGGGUGAUUGGUUGAGCUUUAUCUCCUUACUUUAGCUUUAUUUACUUUUAAAUCACUAAAUUUUACCAAUCAUGCUUUAGCUUUAUUUUUAAUAGUUAAAACUUAAAUCAAGUUUCUGUAAACUUUUACCAAUCAUGCUUUAGCUUUAUUUUUAAAGCUACAGCAAAAAAACUAAAACUUGAGAAAUGAUUUCAAUCCAUAUUGUUUGCUUAAAAAUGCAAUAAACAACCAUAUACUAUAUGCACAGUUACCAUACAGAGAGAUAGAGCAGUAGCUACCCUAACCUUCAAAAACAAGGAAACAACAUAGCCACAAGAUCUCAAAAGAUGAUGGGUCAAACUCAGAUACUUAAAAGUUCAAAACUUUACUCCAACUCUCACAAGAUUUACACAAGAGAAAGGGAAGAAGGAU
Brassica rapa (field mustard) is the source of this 10169-nucleotide long non-coding RNA. RefSeq lists it as uncharacterized. Lineage: Eukaryota; Viridiplantae; Streptophyta; Magnoliopsida; Brassicales; Brassicaceae. The record is from RefSeq and is a predicted model, not a curated record.